UGGGGAAUUUUGGACAAUGGGCGCAAGCCUGAUCCAGCCAUGCCGCGUGCGGGAAGAAGGCCUUCGGGUUGUAAACCGCUUUUGUCAGGGAAGAAAUCUUCUGAGUUAAUACCUCGGGAGGAUGACGGUACCUGAAGAAUAAGCACCGGCUAACUACGUGCCAGCAGCCGCGGUAAUACGUAGGGUGCAAGCGUUAAUCGGAAUUACUGGGCGUAAAGCGUGCGCAGGCGGUUUUGUAAGACAGAGGUGAAAUCCCCGGGCUCAACCUGGGAACUGCCUUUGUGACUGCAAGGCUUGAGUGCGGCAGAGGGGGGAUGGAAUUCCGCGUGUAGCAGUGAAAUGCGUAGAUAUGCGGAGGAACACCGAUGGCGAAGGCAAUCCCCUGGGCCUGCACUGACGCUCAUGCACGAAAGCGUGGGGAGCAAACAGGAUUAGAUAGCCCUGGUAGUCCACGCCCUAAACGAUGUCAACUGGUUGUUGGGAAGGUUCCUUCUCAGUAACGUAGCUAACGCGUGAAGUUGACCGCCUGGGGAGUACGGCCGCAAGGUUGAAACUCAAAUGAAUUGACGGGGU
RNAcentral lists this ribosomal RNA (573 nucleotides) under uncultured bacterium. RNAcentral's name for it is "partial 16S ribosomal RNA". It matches the Rfam family "Bacterial small subunit ribosomal RNA", at positions 355 to 919 of the family's 1533-position model. The record is from RNAcentral.